UACGUAGGUGGCAAGCGUUGUCCGGAUUUACUGGGUGUAAAGGGAGCGCAGGCGGGAAAGCAAGUCAGUGGUGAAAUGCAUGGGCUUAACCCAUGAACUGCCGUUGAAACUGUUUUUCUUGAGUGAAGUAGAGGCAAGCGGAAUUCCGAGUGUAGCGGUGAAAUGCGUAGAUAUUCGGAGGAACACCAGUGGCGAAGGCGGCUUGCUGGGCUUUAACUGACGCUGAGGCUCGAAAGUGUGGGGAG
RNAcentral lists this ribosomal RNA (245 nucleotides) under uncultured Oscillospiraceae bacterium. Its description in RNAcentral is "partial 16S ribosomal RNA". It matches the Rfam family "Bacterial small subunit ribosomal RNA", at positions 524 to 768 of the family's 1533-position model. Lineage: Bacteria; Bacillati; Bacillota; Clostridia; Eubacteriales; Oscillospiraceae. The record is from RNAcentral.